Molecule: long non-coding RNA, 494 nt
Organism: Salvia splendens (bonfire salvia)
Lineage: Eukaryota; Viridiplantae; Streptophyta; Magnoliopsida; Lamiales; Lamiaceae
Exons: 2
Source: RefSeq, a predicted model, not a curated record
CGACAGAUCCGACUCAGCAGCACUGUUUUCAGUUUUCACCUUCGCGAUUUCUGGAAAUCGCAGAUCGUAUUUGGAUAGACAGGACAUAAGUUAUCAUUAUAUGGAUAAAGCAGAACCUAACAAGGAACUUACAGAGGAUUCGACUCGGGAAUCACUGAUUGCUCUCUCUUACAAAGUAGCUGCCAACGAACAACCUGCUGCAAUGUCUCCUAAAGAUACAAGUAUUGACAACGGUUGCGGAAGCCCACACUUUGAUGGAAAAGAGAAGUGUAGGUCUGAGCUGAUUUCCAUCUCUUAUUCACCAUCACCAGACAUGGAAAUCCGGCCGCUGUCACCCUCUGAGUUGGACGGUUAGCGUAAGCUGCUACAGCUUCGCCACACCUUACAAUGUCAAAUUCCCAGCAAAAAUUGUAAACAACUUUUGUUCUGUUCUGUUCUGUUUUGUUAACUUUUUUUUUAAAGAGUAAAGGCCAAAUAUGCUCAUUUUAGUUCUA